GAUGAAGAACGUAGUGAAAUGCGAUAAGUAGUGUGAAUUGUAGAAUUCAGUGAAUCAUCGAAUCUUUGAACGCACAUUGCGCCCCUUGGUAUCCCGAGGGGCAUGCCUGUUCGAGCGUCAUUUCACCACUCAAGCCUGGCUUGGUGUUGGGCGACGUCCCCUUUGGGGACGCGCCUCGAAACGCUCGGCGGCGUGGCACCGGCUUUAAGCGUAGCAGAAUCUUUCGCUUUGGAAGUCGGGGCCCCGUCUGCCGGAAGACCUACUCGCAAGGUUGACCUCGGAUCAGGCAGGGAUACCCGCUGAACUUAAGCAUAUCAAUAAGCGGAGGA
This 329-nucleotide unclassified non-coding RNA is filed under the name soil metagenome. RNAcentral describes it as "partial contains 5.8S ribosomal RNA, internal transcribed spacer 2, and large subunit ribosomal RNA". The stretch from base 1 to 120 matches the Rfam family "5.8S ribosomal RNA", at positions 35 to 154 of the family's 154-position model. The record is from RNAcentral.